AGAUUGAACGCUGGCGGCAUGCUUUACACAUGCAAGUCGAGCGGCAGCGCGGGGGCAACCCUGGCGGCGAGCGGCGAACGGGUGAGUAAUGCAUCGGAACGUGUCCCGUGGUGGGGGAUAACCCGGCGAAAGCCGGGCUAAUACCGCAUAUGCUCUGAGGAGGAAAGGGGGGGAUCCGCAAGGACCUCACGCCAUGGGAGCGGCCGAUGUCCGAUUAGCUUGUUGGUGGGGUAAUGGCUUACCAAGGCGACGAUCGGUAGCUGGUCUGAGAGGAUGAUCAGCCACACUGGGACUGAGACACGGCCCAGACUCCGUACGGGAGGCAGCAGGUGGGAAUUUGGACAAGUGGGGCAACCGUGAUCCAGCCAUGCCGCGUGCGGGAAGAACGGCCGUUCGGUUGUAACCGUCGUUUACGGACCGGUAAGAAACGGACGUAGGGACCAACGUACCCGUCGGUUU
RNAcentral lists this ribosomal RNA (459 nucleotides) under uncultured soil bacterium. RNAcentral describes it as "bacterial SSU rRNA". It matches the Rfam family "Bacterial small subunit ribosomal RNA", at positions 26 to 478 of the family's 1533-position model. The record is from RNAcentral.